This is a long non-coding RNA of Passer domesticus (house sparrow), 465 nucleotides long. RefSeq lists it as uncharacterized. The record is from RefSeq and is a predicted model, not a curated record. NCBI's taxonomy places the organism in Eukaryota, Metazoa, Chordata, Aves, Passeriformes, Passeridae. The transcript has 3 exons.
CUCACGGGUGUGCUGGGAAUACCCUGGAAAACAAGGAAAGCCCCCCUCAAACUGCAGUCAGAAAACCCCUGAUAAAAGGCACCAAAAGCACUUCAUUAAGGAGAUGUCUCAGUGCUACCUGCUCACUUUGUUGCAGAGGAAAGAUAUCCUAGAAAUUUGUUUGGGUGAAAUACAUGGAACCAUUUGCUCCUCCCAGCAGUACAACUGAAGCCUUUCACCAUCCCUUUUCCUGGAUUGUUUCCAGAAACUUGACAUGAAUCUGAAACUGUUGUGAAAUGAGAAAUUCACCCUCCUGGCUCUAUCACCACUCCUUGGAAUUCCACCUGCAAGGGAAGAAAAAUCAGACCCUGAUUUGUCCCAAAUGCUGAAAUCAAGGACACUGAGCAGAGAAUUUCAGGUUUUAUUUUUGAUAUACAAAACUGAACAGAGAAAUCACUGACUAUCAUCACACUUUGGUGUCUUCUU